ACUGAGAAGUUCCCCGUGCAAACCGGGUCGUCCUGACGCUUAACAGCUAGCUCGAUUCCCCAACUCCACCCCUCAAAUAUUAAUAACCCUUAACACACUAAAAAGUUUAACCAAACCAUUUUUCCCCUUAAGUAUAGGAGAUAGAAAAAGAUCCCCGAAUGCAAUAGACAAAGUACCGCAAGGGAAUGCUGAAAGAGAAAUGAAACAACUCAGUAAAGCAUAAAAAAGCAGAGCUUUGCCCUCGUACCUUUUGCAUCAUGUUUUAGCAAGAGCCCUUUAAGCAAAAAGAAUUUUAGUUUAAACACCCGAAACUAGGUGAGCUACUCCAAGACAGUCUUAUUUUUAGGACCAACCCGUCUCUGUGGCAAAAGGGUGGGAAGAUCUUUGAGUAGAGGUGACAAGCCUACCGAACCUUGUUAUAGCUGGUUGCCUGAAAACUGAAUAGAAGUUCAGCCUCUAAACUUUCUUAUGCUCCUACAUCUACCUUAGGCUAACUUCUACAGAUAAAGAGAAGUCUAGAGAGUUAAUCAAAGGGGGUACAGCCCCUUUGAAAUAAGAUACAACUUUACAAAGAAGGGUAAGGAUCAUAACCCGUUUUAUAUUAAGGCAAAAUAUUUUUGUUGGCCUAAGAGCAGCCACCUUAAAAAGAAAGCGUUAAAGCUCAAAUAUUAAUUUUAAAGCCUAAAAUCCCGACUAUAAAAUCCUAGCCCCCUUUCAUCUAACAGGCCGUCCCAUCUUGUAUAAUUAUGGGAGCGAUAAUGCUAGUAUGAGUAACCAGAGGACUUUAAGCCCCUCUCCUUGCACAAGUGUAUCCCGGAACGGACCCCCGCCGGAAAUUACCAGGCCCCAAUCAAAGCGGGCACAGGAGAAAAAAGAAAAAACAAGAAAUUUCUCCUAAAACAACCGUUAACCCCACACUGGUGCGCCCACAUGGAAAGACUAAAAGAAAAAGAAGGAACUCGGCAAAUUCAACUAUAAGCCUCGCCUGUUUACCAAAAACAUCGCCUCUUGCAUAAGAAAUAUAAGAGGUCCCGCCUGCCCUGUGACAAGUAGUUCAACGGCCGCGGUAAUUUGACCGUGCGAAGGUAGCG
This 1091-nucleotide ribosomal RNA is filed under the name Pseudomugil reticulatus (Vogelkop blue-eye). Its description in RNAcentral is "partial 16S ribosomal RNA". The stretch from base 226 to 1091 matches the Rfam family "Bacterial large subunit ribosomal RNA", at positions 568 to 1961 of the family's 2925-position model. The record is from RNAcentral. Lineage: Eukaryota; Metazoa; Chordata; Actinopteri; Atheriniformes; Pseudomugilidae.